Molecule: ribosomal RNA, 937 nt
Filed under: uncultured bacterium
Lineage: Bacteria
Description: bacterial SSU rRNA
Rfam family: Bacterial small subunit ribosomal RNA
Source: RNAcentral
GCAGUCGAGCGAGAAAGGGCUUCGGCCCCGGUAAAGCGGCGCACGGGUGAGUAACACGUAGGUAAUCAACCCCCGAGUGGUGGACAACUCUCCGAAAGGAGAGCUAAUACAGCAUGACAGCACGAUUUUCCGAAGUCGUGCCUAAAGCGGGCCUCUUCAUGAACGCUCGCGCUUGGGGAUGAGCCUGCGGCCCAUCAGCUAGUUGGUCGGGGUAAUGGCCCACCAAGGCGUAGACGGGUAGCUGGUCUGAGAGGAUGAACAGCCACACUGGAACUGAGACACGGUCCAGACUCCUACGGGAGGCAGCAGUCGGGAAUCUUCCGCAAUGGGCGCAAGCCUGACGGAGCGACGCCGCGUGAGCGAUGAAGGCCUUCGGGUUGUAAAGCUCUGUGGGGAGGGAAGCAUAAGUUCAAAUUAACACUCUGAAUGAUGACGGUACCUCCUUAGCAAGCACCGGCUAACUCUGUGCCAGCAGCCGCGGUAAGACAGAGGGUGCAAACGUUGUUCGGAUUUACUGGGCGUAAAGCGCGUGUAGGCGGCUUUGCAAGUCGGAUGUGAAAGCCCACGGCUCAACCGUGGAAGUGCAUCCGAAACGGCAUGGCUUGAGUCUCGGAGAGGAAGGUGGAAUGCUUGGUGUAGAGGUGAAAUUCGUAGAUAUCAAGCAGAACACCUGCGGCGAAGGCGGCCUUCUGGACGAUGACUGACGCUGAGACGCGAAAGCGUGGGGAGCAAACAGGAUUAGAUACCCUGGUAGUCCACGCCGUAAACGAUGAGUGCUAGGUGUCACGGGCUUUGACCCUCGUGGUGCCGAAGCUAACGCGAUAAGCACUCCGCCUGGGGAGUACGGCCGCAAGGCUAAAACUCAAGGAAUUGACGGGGGCCCGCACAAGCGGUGGAGCCUGUGGUUUAUUUCCAGGCACGCGAGACCUUUACCAGC